AUCGAACGCUGGCGGCAUGCCUUACACAUGCAAGUCGAACGGCAGCACGGGAGCAAUCCUGGUGGCGAGUGGCGAACGGGUGAGUAAUGUAUCGGAACGUACCUUUCAGUGGGGGAUAACGUAGCGAAAGUUACGCUAAUACCGCAUAUUCUGUGAGCAGGAAAGCAGGGGAUCGCAAGACCUUGCGCUGAUUGAGCGGCCGAUAUCAGAUUAGCUAGUUGGUGAGGUAAAGGCUCACCAAGGCGACGAUCUGUAGCGGGUCUGAGAGGAUGAUCCGCCACACUGGAACUGAGACACGGUCCAGACUCCUACGGGAGGCAGCAGUGGGGAAUUUUGGACAAUGGGCGCAAGCCUGAUCCAGCCAUGCCGCGUGAGUGAAGAAGGCCUUC
This 389-nucleotide ribosomal RNA is filed under the name uncultured bacterium. RNAcentral's name for it is "bacterial SSU rRNA". It matches the Rfam family "Bacterial small subunit ribosomal RNA", at positions 30 to 419 of the family's 1533-position model. The record is from RNAcentral.